RNAcentral lists this ribosomal RNA (207 nucleotides) under uncultured bacterium. RNAcentral describes it as "partial 16S ribosomal RNA". It matches the Rfam family "Bacterial small subunit ribosomal RNA", at positions 568 to 774 of the family's 1533-position model. The record is from RNAcentral.
CAUGUAGGCGGAUUGGUCAGUUGGAGGUGAAAUCCCGGAGCUCAACUCCGGAACUGCCUUCAAUACUGCCAAUCUAGAAUCUGUAAGGGGGUGGUGGAAUUCCGAGUGUAGAGGUGAAAUUCGUAGAUAUUCGGAGGAACACCAGUGGCGAAGGCGACCACCUGGUACAGUAUUGACGCUGAGAUGCGAAAGCGUGGGGAGCAAACA